Sinocyclocheilus grahami is the source of this 73-nucleotide long non-coding RNA. RefSeq lists it as uncharacterized. Lineage: Eukaryota; Metazoa; Chordata; Actinopteri; Cypriniformes; Cyprinidae. The record is from RefSeq and is a predicted model, not a curated record. The transcript is spliced from 3 exons.
UAAUCCACAUGACUCCAGUCCAUCAAUUAAUGUCUUAUAAAGCAAAAAGCUGUUUGUUUGUAUGAAACAAUCC